UAGAUACAGUUUAUGUAUCGGAGGCCAGCUGAGAGCUUGAGCAAAAGAAUACACCCUCAUUGUAAAAAAAAAUACACCCUCAUUGUAUAGCAGGCCUGUCUCCCAAAUAGGACCGUUGGAGGGUGGGAGUGAGACCCGUUACAAAAUACUAGUGUGACAAUUUCUUGACCGUGACAUCCCUAACGUUAGUUGGAUUACAUUUCUGUAUAAGUACGGUUUUAAGUGUAAGUUACUCUGUUUAAUUUGCUUAGAGUUUGUUUGUAGAGUCACUUAUACUAAAAUGUAGUUUAAAUGUAAAAUGCUUAAAGAUAAAAUUGUAUAGUCACUAUUAACUAUUACUAUUGUCACAUGUAUAAUUGUUUGUUUUAGGACACACUUUGCCAUGCAGGCCACUGGAUACUGACUACUGAAGGUUAGGUUGUGUGUGACGGUGCUCAGCACAGCUUCAUGUCUGGCCUUCCCACUCUGUUCAUAGCAUGUUACAUAUUCAAUCAUGAGUACCAGGAUGGGGCAGCAUGUACUUGGAGUCCAAUGAAAGAUAUUAAUCCAGAGAGUGGAACAAGAAGCGUCAUCUAAAAUGCCAGGAUACAGAAGAAACAGGUUGCAGUGAACCCACAUGUCGCCGCUCUUCUAAACACAAUGAUGAAUAUUCAGUGUAAUCGAUGAAAAUUCCAGCUACUUGUUGUGCUCUGAUGGAUCAAGAUGUGGACCGUUUUACAGACUCACUUGGGCCUUGUUUUGCAAUGUUGUUUCAUGAUGGUAAUGUUGGUUAACGUGUUGUUUAAACAUGAAUGUUUAAAGAGCCAUGUUGGAUACUAUGAAGUUGUUACUGAAUAAAAUUAUUUCAUGUACAACAACGUACACAAUUUGUCUGUAAUGUAUUUUUGUAUCAAUUAAAAAAAAAUAAACACUGUAUAUCCAGUAUGCAAAACAUACUGGAUAUACAGUGAUUUAUGUAUUUCUUCUAAAUAAAGUAAAUUAAAAUCAAGCAAUUUGCUGUAAAAAAUACAGCAUUAUACUGUUGCUAUUCAAAAUUACAGUUUUUCCUGUAUUCUGCAAUUACAGUAAAUGGCUGUAAAUUAAAUUACAGUACUGUGGCUGUACAAUUUACAGUAACUGGCUGGCAACCCUGCUGCCAGUAGUUUACU
Molecule: long non-coding RNA, 1148 nt
Organism: Triplophysa dalaica
Lineage: Eukaryota; Metazoa; Chordata; Actinopteri; Cypriniformes; Nemacheilidae
Exons: 3
Source: RefSeq, a predicted model, not a curated record